GAUGAACGCUGGCGGCGUGCCUAAUACAUGCCAGUCGAGCGAACAGACGAGGAGCUUGCUCCUCUGACGUUAGCGGCGGACGGGUGAGUAACACGUGGAUAACCUACCUAUAAGACUGGGAUAACUUCGGGAAACCGGAGCUAAUACCGGAUAAUAUAUUGAACCGCAUGGUUCAAUAGUUAAAGACGGUUUUGCUGUCACUUAUAGAUGGAUCCGCGCCGCAUUAGCUAGUUGGUAAGGUAACGGCUUACCAAGGCAACGAUGCGUAGCCGACCUGAGAGGGUGAUCGGCCACACUGGAACUGAGACACGGUCCAGACUACUACGGGAGGCAGCAGUAGGGAAUAUUCCGCAAUGGGCGAAAGCCUGACGGAGCAACGCCGCGUGAGUGAUGAAGGUCUUCGGAUCGUAAAACUCUGUUAUUAGGGAAGAACAAAUGUGUAAGUAACUAUGCACGUCUUGACGGUACCUAAUCAGAAAGCCACGGCUAACUACGUG
This 497-nucleotide ribosomal RNA is filed under the name uncultured bacterium. RNAcentral describes it as "partial 16S ribosomal RNA". It matches the Rfam family "Bacterial small subunit ribosomal RNA", at positions 28 to 507 of the family's 1533-position model. The record is from RNAcentral.